Molecule: non-coding RNA, 500 nt
Organism: Paramormyrops kingsleyae
Lineage: Eukaryota; Metazoa; Chordata; Actinopteri; Osteoglossiformes; Mormyridae
Source: RefSeq, a predicted model, not a curated record
AGAGAACAGUGGUGAGACUGACUGUCAGAACUGAUGGAAAAGUAAAGGAUCCUGCAUUCAGCAGCCUUCUGUUAAUGCAGUUACAGGAGAAGCUGAUCAGCGCAGGCAUGUCAGAAGGCACCACACUAUCCUGGAGGACUCAACCUGAUGGCCAAAUCUUCCAUCUAAAGGACUAAAGAGCAAAAAUGACAAGGGGUCUGUGAAUGCGGAAGAGAUGAAUCCUCAGUGUGUCUGGAAUCGCAGAGGGAUCUGAGGACCAGAGCAGCCCAAUAUGCAUUGAUUUGCACAUAAUACAAAGAAAUGAUUCCUUUCUACUCAUGAUCAUACAAGUGAUUUUCUAUCCUUCUGCAUCUGCAUAAUAUAAACUUUCAUUUGUGCUGAUCCUGAAACAGAUAAUUGCUAACUGCAUUUCAGGCCUCACAGUGCUCACUGCUUUCCUUGGUGUGUUUCAGUUUAAUAGAUUAUAAACAUUCAGAGGUGAAAAUAUUUUCUGUAGCCUC